CUGCACAGCCACGCCACCCUCAAUGCUCCCCAUCUCGUCUGAUGUGGGAAGCCACUCAGGCUGAGUCUGUUUGGCCUUGGAUGGGAGAAAAGUUCCAGAGAGCUGCAUGGUGGGCUGUGUGGC
Ribosomal RNA from Cavia aperea (Brazilian guinea pig), 123 nucleotides. The record is from Ensembl. Lineage: Eukaryota; Metazoa; Chordata; Mammalia; Rodentia; Caviidae.